Molecule: long non-coding RNA, 1001 nt
Organism: Passer domesticus (house sparrow)
Lineage: Eukaryota; Metazoa; Chordata; Aves; Passeriformes; Passeridae
Exons: 5
Source: RefSeq, a predicted model, not a curated record
AGUUGUGGUGUUCAUGGACAUGAGCUGCUGUCAGUGAAGCAGAAAUGGAAGAGCCAGUGACAAACUUGCACAUUUCUUACUGCUGCUAAGCUUACAGGUCUAGAUUGUGAUGGAACACACAGUGGCAAUCUACUGUUUCAUGGCAAGGCUGCAGCACAAAAACUCUUCAGGAUGAAAAGUUGGAGUUUGAGAAGGGAGGUGCUGUGGAUGAUCAGAGAGGACACAGCUGUAGCUAUGUUGACACAAAUGGAGCAAGGUCUCAGCAGCCUGACAAGCAGUGUGGCAAAAGAACAACUGUUUAUAUUUUUCUGAAUUAUGUGAUCACCAGAGCAGUUGGAGAACAAGUUACAGCAAAUGUGCUCUUGAGAGCACCCGUGAUCAGAGCCUCAUCAACCAAUUUAAGAGCUGACCUUUUGCCUAGGCUUUCUGCAGAACCUCAGACAACAUGACAAUACCCAGCCGUGCAGGACACCCUGGCAGGCCAGAAGGGGAUUGUGAAGAAGACAACAGCGUGGUUGUUGGAGGACCUUCCUGGCCAAGACAGGAAUUGAAGAGAGGCAUUUCAUUCCUGGAGUCCAUGGGCUGGGAACUGUCUCUCAUUCCUCCCUGGAGUGCUGAAGUGGAGAAGGGAGAGCAGGACAACAGACAGGAGCUGCCAGGAAAGGACCCUUUGGAUGGAAAAGACCCUUUGGAUGUCUCAAAUCAUCAGUACCAUACAGGUGUGAUCAAAGUGUAGUGUGGGGUAAGGGGCCUUUCAGAGCAGACUGGAAAGGGAGAAGGCACUGCCAAGACCCUACUGCAGCCAAGGGUGCAGCUUCAAAUGUCCUCUCCUGGAAGGUGAAUGUACAGAAAGGAGAAAGGGGAACAAGGUCAGAAAAUGCAGACCACAAAAGGACUGUGUUCAUUCAUAUGUUUGAGUUUAUAUAAGAAUGUAAAUACCAGAGAAAGAGACGUCAAAUAUUGCACUAAACAAUAUUAAACUAAAGAUUAUUACUACAGGA